This 291-nucleotide ribosomal RNA is filed under the name Streptococcus sanguinis. RNAcentral describes it as "partial 16S ribosomal RNA". It matches the Rfam family "Bacterial small subunit ribosomal RNA", at positions 173 to 463 of the family's 1533-position model. Lineage: Bacteria; Bacillati; Bacillota; Bacilli; Lactobacillales; Streptococcaceae. The record is from RNAcentral.
UAUUAAUUAUCGCAUGAUAAUUAAUUGAAAGAUGCAAUUGCAUCACUACCAGAUGGACCUGCGUUGUAUUAGCUAGUUGGUGAGGUAACGGCUCACCAAGGCGACGAUACAUAGCCGACCUGAGAGGGUGAUCGGCCACACUGGGACUGAGACACGGCCCAGACUCCUACGGGAGGCAGCAGUAGGGAAUCUUCGGCAAUGGGGGGAACCCUGACCGAGCAACGCCGCGUGAGUGAAGAAGGUUUUCGGAUCGUAAAGCUCUGUUGUAAGAGAAGAACGGGUGUGAGAGUG